CAGUCGCCGCGGUAAUACAGAGGGUGCGAGCGUUAAUCGGAUUUACUGGGCGUAAAGCGUGCGUAGGCGGCUUUUCAAGUCGGAUGUGAAAUCCCUGAGCUUAACUUAGGAAUUGCAUUCGAUACUGGGAAGCUAGAGUAUGGGAGAGGAUGGUAGAAUUCCAGGUGUAGCGGUGAAAUGCGUAGAGAUCUGGAGGAAUACCGAUGGCGAAGGCAGCCAUCUGGCCUAAUACUGACGCUGAGGUACGAAAGCAUGGGGAGCAAACAGGAUUAGAUACCCCAGUAGUCCCUGUCUCUUAUAC
This 301-nucleotide ribosomal RNA is filed under the name uncultured bacterium. RNAcentral describes it as "partial 16S ribosomal RNA". It matches the Rfam family "Bacterial small subunit ribosomal RNA", at positions 509 to 807 of the family's 1533-position model. The record is from RNAcentral.